CCUCAACCCACAGUGUGCAUACGUGGGUCAGCUCAUCACCACGUUUGCACUUGGCUGUUUAAAUGAUCCCCAAGGAAGGCCAUGACACAGGCCUACCCUGAGGGUGAGCUGUAUUUACAAAGUGUGGCUACAGAGAACUGCCGAGAGUGGACUGUGUUUUCAUGUUGAGAGUCGUGUCACACCUCGUACACUUUCCAGAAUGAUAUAGGAAAUGCAUACAGAAGUGGGAUUUCUGCCCCAGGGGCGUACAGUCCUCCCUACUUACAAUCAAAAUUUUGUCCUAUAGGCCUCCCCGGGAUCUGGGCAUCUGAUCAACCUUAGGGCUGCCAGUCGGUUGGUGGUGCUUUGCAUGGGGCAGGCGUCAGUAGCCCCUGUGGAAACUACCGGAUCAGGACCAGAGCCUCACUGUACUGGCAUCACAUCACAGAGACUGAAGCUAUGAAGAUCAUGGAUGAGGCCAAGAGGCCCAGAGACGGGCAGGAGUCUUCUUGAGAUCACAGGGUGCAUAGCAGGAUGGGAACCGAUUUUCCAAGGCUGCUAUGGGCCCAGCCUGCCCUCCAGGGCCUUACAGCCCUUUCCACUACAGGGCAGGGUCCCUCCUGUGCACAGCUUGGGAGACUCUGUCCUCUCACCAGGGGAGCCCUGUGAUCACCUGGCUGGAGAGACCAAGUCCUGUGUUUCUGGAGUGGAUAGCUGUUUAGAGGUUAGUAAGAUAGUGGCUCAGAGCACAAUUUUGGAGCCAAGCAGAUCUGGACCCAAAUCCUGGACUCCUGGUUCACGGCCCACAUGACCCAGACUGUGGACAGGAACAACCAACAGGAGCGAAAGCCAAGGGCAAGAGUGAAAGCAAGGGCGGCUGCCUUUCUCACCGCUGUUGUUCCACCACUCGAGCCACGCCGCCAGCCCUUCUCACCAUCCUUGAAGGCAGGGCUGUGUGCUGAUGAGUCUACCGAAAGGAGUGGCUUGCAAGCUGAUUGUCCCUUUUGAUGACACACGAGGGGAGGUAGUGGCUGUGGUCCCAGCUGCGCCUCUCUCCCCUCCCUGGUGGUGAGGGCACAGGGGUCCACUGCCGGCCACUUGAGCCAAGGCUUCCUGUGCAGCACGAGCAGCCUCUGCAGACGCUAAGGAGUUGGUGUUUGGCGCCCGGUACAGGAAACUCUGGGCACCACUUCUGGGAACACAAGACAUUUAAGUGACUUCCUUACUGAAUAUUUCAUGAUUUACAUUAAUGGCUUUCUGGUGUUUUUCAUAACACAACUAUCUACAUUAUGAUGGGUUAAAAUGUGGUUAUUCCAGCCACUCUCACUCUGAAAUCUCUC
This 1319-nucleotide long non-coding RNA is filed under the name Castor canadensis (American beaver). RNAcentral describes it as "lncRNA (ENSCCNG00000024067.1)". The record is from RNAcentral. Lineage: Eukaryota; Metazoa; Chordata; Mammalia; Rodentia; Castoridae.